Molecule: small nuclear RNA, 107 nt
Organism: Jaculus jaculus (lesser Egyptian jerboa)
Lineage: Eukaryota; Metazoa; Chordata; Mammalia; Rodentia; Dipodidae
Source: Ensembl
GUAUUUUUCCCAGUGGUGCAUAUAAUAAAAUUGUAACAAUGCAAAGAAGAUGAAUGUGGCUCCUGUGUAAGGAUGAAAAGCAAAGUUGUGAAAUGUUUCAUACUUUU